This 1020-nucleotide ribosomal RNA is filed under the name Oenococcus oeni. Its description in RNAcentral is "bacterial SSU rRNA". It matches the Rfam family "Bacterial small subunit ribosomal RNA", at positions 1 to 985 of the family's 1533-position model. Lineage: Bacteria; Bacillati; Bacillota; Bacilli; Lactobacillales; Lactobacillaceae. The record is from RNAcentral.
UUUAAAUUGAGAGUUUGAUCCUGGCUCAGGAUGAACGCUGGUGGCGUGCCUAAUACAUGCAAGUCGUACGCUAGCCGCUGAAUUGAUCCUUCGGGUGAAGUGAGGCAAUGACUAGAGUGGCGAACUGGUGAGUAACACGUAAGAAACCUGCCCUUUAGUGGGGGAUAACAUUUGGAAACAGAUGCUAAUACCGCGUAACAACAAAUCACACAUGUGAUCUGUUUGAAAGGUCCUUUUGGAUCGCUAGAGGAUGGUCUUGCGGCGUAUUAGCUUGUUGGUAGGGUAGAAGCCUACCAAGGCAAUGAUGCGUAGCCGAGUUGAGAGACUGGCCGGCCACAUUGGGACUGAGACACUGCCCAAACUCCUACGGGAGGCUGCAGUAGGGAAUUUUCCGCAAUGCACGAAAGUGUGACGGAGCGACGCCGCGUGUGUGAUGAAGGCUUUCGGGUCGUAAAGCACUGUUGUAAGGGAAGAAUAACUGAAUUCAGAGAAAGUUUUCAGCUUGACGGUACCUUACCAGAAAGGGAUGGCUAAAUACGUGCCAGCAGCCGCGGUAAUACGUAUGUCCCGAGCGUUAUCCGGAUUUAUUGGGCGUAAAGCGAGCGCAGACGGUUUAUUAAGUCUGAUGUGAAAUCCCGAGGCCCAACCUCGGAACUGCAUUGGAAACUGAUUUACUUGAGUGCGAUAGAGGCAAGUGGAACUCCAUGUGUAGCGGUGAAAUGCGUAGAUAUGUGGAAGAACACCAGUGGCGAAAGCGGCUUGCUAGAUCGUAACUGACGUUGAGGCUCGAAAGUAUGGGUAGCAAACGGGAUUAGAUACCCCGGUAGUCCAUACCGUAAACGAUGGGUGCUAGUUGUUAAGAGGUUUCCGCCUCCUAGUGACGUAGCAAACGCAUUAAGCACCCCGCCUGAGGAGUACGGCCGCAAGGCUAAAACUUAAAGGAAUUGACGGGGACCCGCACAAGCGGUGGAGCAUGUGGUUUAAUUCGAAGAUACGCGAAAAACCUUACCAGGUCUUGAC